UAACUUUUAACAACGGAUCUCUUGGCUCUCGCAUCGAUGAAGAACGCAGCGAAAUGCGAUAUGUAAUGUGAAUUGCAGAAUAGUGAAUCAUCGAAUCUUUGAACGCACCUUGCGCCUUUCGAGGCAUGCUGGUUUGAGCGCCUUA
This 145-nucleotide ribosomal RNA is filed under the name Dacrymyces stillatus. RNAcentral's name for it is "5.8S ribosomal RNA". It matches the Rfam family "5.8S ribosomal RNA". Rfam says of the family: 5.8S ribosomal RNA (5.8S rRNA) is a component of the large subunit of the eukaryotic ribosome. The record is from RNAcentral. RNAcentral also lists the same sequence under 1 other name. Lineage: Eukaryota; Fungi; Basidiomycota; Dacrymycetes; Dacrymycetales; Dacrymycetaceae.